Molecule: ribosomal RNA, 494 nt
Filed under: uncultured bacterium
Lineage: Bacteria
Description: partial 16S ribosomal RNA
Rfam family: Bacterial small subunit ribosomal RNA
Source: RNAcentral
GACGAACGCUGGCGGCGUGCUUAACACAUGCCAGUCGAACGGUGAAGCGCCUUCCUUUUUGGUGGGUGUGGAUGAGUGGCGAACGGGUGAGUAACACGUGAGUAACCUGCCCCCUUCUUCUGGAUAACCGCAUGAAAGUGUGGCUAAUACGGGAUAUUCUGGGUCUGUCGCAUGAUGGGUCUGGGAAAGAUAUUGUUUCGGUGGGGGAUGGGCUCGCGGCCUAUCAGCUUGUUGGUGGGGUGAUGGCCUACCAAGGCGGUGACGGGUAGCCGGCCUGAGAGGGUGGACGGUCACAAUGGGACUGAGACACGGCCCAGACUCCUACGGGAGGCAGCGGUGGGGAAUAUUGCACAAUGGGCGCAAGCCUGAUGCAGCGACGCCGCGUGAGGGAUGGAGGCCUUCGGGUUGUGAACCUCUUUCGCCAGUGAAGCAGGCCUGCCUCGUUUGUGGGUGGGUUGACGGUAGCUGGAUAAGAAGCGCCGGCUAACUACGUG